UGAGUUUACAUGGAGAUUACCCUUGUGGCUGUCACCGAACCAAGUUAGUCUCUACCUUAUAAGUGCACUUAAUCUUCCUCUCUCUCCGAUACUUAUCUUCCGGUCAAUCUUUCAUACCCGGCAACUUCUUCCGACUCCAAAUUUGAUGCCCUGCUCUGUUCCCAACGUUUUCUCUAGCAAAGAUUGCGCCUUUCACCUUCCCCUAAAAAUCCAAUCUUAGGGUUAAGAUUUCCAUUCCCAAUUUCUCCCAAACCAAAAUCCAACCACAAUCUCCGUGAACCAUCACCAAGGGGAAGAACGAUUUCCUCACGCCCAAAGCCAUGGGACUUCAGAAGCUCCAGUGGGACUACCAUACGUGCAAGAAGCAAUGCCGCGAUGAGAACAGCUUCAAAUGUCACUGCUUGAGCGAGAGCCACCAGCGCCAUCGAGGAGUGUACAGUAGAGAGUUGGAGCUGUUUCCAGCGACUUCGAUUAGCCCUCGGUUCGCUUCACCGACUCUGCCUUCAACUGUUCUGUGCCGCCGAGAGCCAUCAUUAAGAAAACUUUGGUGCCGGAAAGCUCACCGCGGUUAGUUCAUUUUUCCGUUUAUGGCUUUGGUGCCGGAAAGCUCACCGCGGCCAAGGAAGAUCCCUGCUGUUACAAAGAGCAAAAACUGCAGCUUGAAUCUGGAGAACAAUAGACAGUUUGAGUAACAUUAAAGCAUAGAUAACCUUCUGUCAUAACUGAACCUGGAGACUUGAUUAGAUAUUAUUUCCCUUCUUCUUUGCGUGUUUCGCUCAAGAAGCAUGGUCAUGAGCCCGAUCCUAUUCAGUUUUUUUAUGAUAAGCAUACACGGAAUGACAAAGAAAAAAACUGGAUUUAUGAAGUUGCUGAGCGGACACAUGCUGGUAUGCAAGAGAAGUUGGCAGAAAUUGUAGCAGUUGAAGGUAAUGAGACUACAGAGAUGCGAGAAAGAGCAUAUGUUGCAGUGAUGGGACGUGAGAAACGUCACAGAGUUUGCGGUUAUGGACUAGGUGUAAUACCUGAUAUGGUGCCUUAUCUUCAAAUUGAUGGUAGCUCAUCAUCACACAGAUCAUAUGGAAGACAUUAUGCUCACUUGCAGUCACAAUUAAUUUAUGGAGUUAGAGUCCAAGUACCAACAACAACAAGAGCAAGCACAGGUGCAGCAAGUUCAAACUCAGGAACGACUCUUGCAAACCCAACAAGAAUUGGCAAUGUUAAAGCAAAUGAUGCAAUCCCAGCAAUCUACUCCACCUUCACAACAAUCUUCUCAGCCUUUGCAGCAACCAUCCUUCCAGAUGCCUUCUUAUCCUCGUCAAAUGUACUGGCCUCAACCGCAGAUCUAUCCUCAAAUGCCUUAUCAGCCUCAACAUGCUUAUCCUACCACUGGACUAACUGGAUUGCUUAUGGGAGAUACAAGUGUCCAAGAAACUGAUUUGUUGAACCAACUUAGAGCUUCAUCAAAUCAAAGCUCUCGUGGAUCUGAGCAAUAGACUUUUAUUAUUUCCCUUAUUGAUCAUUAGAUGCUAAUUGAUAGGCAUUUGACUAGAUGAAUUUGUGACUUUUUUAGUAACAAGUAUUUUGUAGACUUGAUUUUAAGUUGCAUCAGUAAAGAUUUGUUGAACAGGAAAUAAAUUUAUAUUAUAUUUUGUUGUCCAGAAAAAAUUUAUAUAUAUAAUUUAUA
Molecule: RNA transcript, 1684 nt
Organism: Rosa rugosa (rugosa rose)
Lineage: Eukaryota; Viridiplantae; Streptophyta; Magnoliopsida; Rosales; Rosaceae
Exons: 5
Source: RefSeq, a predicted model, not a curated record